This 402-nucleotide ribosomal RNA is filed under the name uncultured Asticcacaulis sp. Its description in RNAcentral is "bacterial SSU rRNA". It matches the Rfam family "Bacterial small subunit ribosomal RNA", at positions 355 to 774 of the family's 1533-position model. Lineage: Bacteria; Pseudomonadati; Pseudomonadota; Alphaproteobacteria; Caulobacterales; Caulobacteraceae. The record is from RNAcentral.
UGGGGAAUCUUGCGCAAUGGUCGAAAGACUGACGCAGCCAUGCCGCGUGAAUGAUGAAGGUCUUAGGAUUGUAAAAUUCUUUCAGCAGGGACGAUAAUGACGGUACCUGCAGAAGAAGCCCCGGCUAACUUCGUGCCAGCAGCCGCGGUAAUACGAAGGGGGCUAGCGUUGCUCGGAAUUACUGGGCGUAAAGGGAGCGUAGGCGGGUUAUCAAGUUGGAGGUGAAAGCCCAGGGCUCAACCUUGGAAUUGCCUUCAAAACUGAUAGCCUAGAGUAUGAUAGAGGUAAGUGGAACUCCGAGUGUAGAGGUGAAAUUCGUAGAUAUUCGGAAGAACACCAGUGGCGAAGGCGACUUACUGGAUCAUGACUGACGCUGAGGCUCGAAAGCGUGGGGAGCAAACA